Molecule: long non-coding RNA, 343 nt
Filed under: Panax ginseng (ginseng)
Lineage: Eukaryota; Viridiplantae; Streptophyta; Magnoliopsida; Apiales; Araliaceae
Description: long non-coding RNA (PGIN_LNC004260)
Source: RNAcentral
CCACAACAAAAUUACAUAUCCGCAUCAACAAAUAAAAUACUUAAAACUCAAUUACAAACCCUCGAAAAUCGGCGUAUAACCUCGGCAUAUAAUCUCAUUAAGAAAAGCAUUUGAUCCCAAAACACAUGAGAUAUCUGCAUAAUUACAAUAGCUCCAUACAAAAAAAAAAACAAUCCAUUGGGGGAAAAAAUCCCAGCAAAAAUAUAUCACUGCAGCCUUAGCAUGGAGUAUCAUUUGAAUCCCAACAUCAGCAUGAUCAAAUAGAUGAAAUAUUCCAUUCCAAACGAAAACCAUAUUCUUAGAAAAGCUGAGAAUUAAAAAAAGCAUAAAAAACUGACCUGAG